Molecule: non-coding RNA, 81 nt
Organism: Myotis davidii
Lineage: Eukaryota; Metazoa; Chordata; Mammalia; Chiroptera; Vespertilionidae
Source: Rfam
AGGCCUGAAGAGACAAGCAGGGUCUGAUCCAUAGCCUCUGUGGCAGCUAUUGAUCAGCACUUGCCUCUCUCUUUAGCUCCG